Long non-coding RNA from Ostrinia nubilalis (European corn borer), 4047 nucleotides. RefSeq lists it as uncharacterized. The record is from RefSeq and is a predicted model, not a curated record. The transcript has 3 exons. Lineage: Eukaryota; Metazoa; Arthropoda; Insecta; Lepidoptera; Crambidae.
ACAACGAGGCGGAGAAAAAAAAAAAAUGUUGCCAAAGAGGUCACCCACUCAGUAUUAUCUUGACAGUUGACAUUUUACUGCCAAGUGCCAAGACACUGGUUUUCAGUGGGUGCCUUGUACGCAGGGGCAAAAAAAAUAUAAUAAAAUAAAUUCAAAUUAAUUAAAAUUCACAUUAAAAUAAAAAAUAACAAUUACAAUAAAAAAAAAAAAAAAAAGAACAAAACAAUUACUAAAAUUUUAAAUAAACAUGUCCAAAAAUAUAUAAAAAUUAAAAUUCACAAUAAAAUAAAAAUUACAAUAAGAAUAAAAUUAACAAAAAACAAUACAAUUAAUUUCAAAUAAACAUGUCAAAAUAAAUUAAAAUUCACAUUAAAAAAUAAAAUACCAAAUUAACGACACAGACAGGACAAUAAUAAUUUUAAUUAGACAAAUGUAAUAAAUAAUAAUAUUCAUGAAAUAAAUCAAAACAAAACAAAACGCCGCUUGGCUGCGGUCGAAGAACGCGGCCAAAGAGUCAGGUGACGGGCCGUGAAUGAAGAAAAUAAUAAAAAAGUGACAAGAAAAAGUCACCUGACGUUCACGUUUGCCACGUAAAUCAGCCACGUAGCGACAGAACAUUUUCACUUUAACAAUGUACUAAUUAAAUAUGUGUUUUUUAAUGUCUACUGUGUUAAAAAAUAAAUGGAUUGACAGACGGAUGGAUGAACUCCAUCACCCAGAAGCCGUGAACUAAUGGGCACUCAUCAGGGAAGAAAACAAAAAAUCUCGAUGUCAUGGCAGUUCCUCGCAGCCACUGCAAUCGUCCGAGCAUCCCAGAGCAGGCAGGCAGAGCAUCCAAAAGGGCAACCACGAUGAGCUGCGUUCCCAAUGCCGGAACGGCACCUCAAAACCCGCAUAUACGACGUGCAUACUCUGAUGAGCACGCAGCGGCGGGGGCAGGUCGUUCCAACAUCGAGACGCCGCAAAUCUAAACGAGCCCCGAAAUGCCGCCGUGCGAUGCCUCGGGGUUAGGAAGACGUGAGUAAUCACUCUUCUCUCAUGCUCAUUUCGGUUUGGGGCCCGGACUAGCUUGUCAAAGAGAUACCUCGGCCGUCCUGUGUUAACAACGCCAAACAACAAUGUAGCUAAGUGCAACCUUCUACGGGCCUCCAUCUUCAACAGAUUGGCAGUAAUUAGAAAUGGUGUUACAUGAGAUCGAGGUGGGAUGUGGAAGCAGAAACGGGCACAUGCAUUCUGUACUCGUUGCAACAAUUUUGCUGAACUUGCCAGUAGACAUGGCCCAUAUACAGUGUCGCAAUAGUUCAGCUUGGACAAGACAAGCGCCUCACAAAGGUUUAUCCUCAGUUUUUCACACAAAUAUGGUCUUAUUCUGUACAGGAGCUUCAACCUAUAGAAACAAUUCCUUGCACACUCAGUUAUAUGUUUUUCAAAUUUGAGAUGACUGUCCAGCACCAUACCCAAGUUCCUUGCAUCCUCAACCCUCUCUAUUGACUCCCCAUUUAAGGUGACACUUAAACCGUUGAUCUUAGCUAUGUUUUUAGGUGUCCCUAUUAGCAUGAGCUUAGACUUUUUUGGAUUUAAGGUAAGGCAGUUGUCAGAGCACCAGGUGGACACGCUAAGUAAGUCCCUGUUUAUCAAGGCCAUAGCUCCGCCCUGAUCACAAGGCACAAAUGAAAGGUACAGCUGUAAGUCAUCCGCAUACAAGUGAUAGCGACAGUGUGCAAUAUGUCCUAUGAUAUCAGCACUGUACAAAAUGUAGAGGAUCGGCCCCAAGAUCGAGCCUUGUGGGACCCCACGGUUCACAGGUAGAGAUUGUGAACGAAGUUUUUUACCGUUGCUCAGCCUCAGCUCCACAUACUGACUCCGUCCAUGCAGAUAACUGUGGAACCAUUUGAUAGCGCUUUGUUCAAGACCAUAGAAUCUGAGUUUCGACAGCAGCAGCGACGUGUUAAUUGAGUCGAAUGCUCGUGAGAAGUCAAGAAGAAGCAACGCGGAUACCAUACCACGGUCCUGAGCUGCAAGAAGGUUGUCCACAACAUCCGCCAGAGCAGCCGCAGUGCUAUGCCCCCCACGAAAACCCGACUGCAACUCUGGAAGUAUAUUAUGCCUCUCCAAGUAAGUGGUUAACUGCUUGCAUACAAUUUUUUCCAAUACCUUGGAGAGGCAUGGAAGGAUACUGACAGGACGAAGGUCUUGGAGUGAAGCCGGCCGGUUGGUCUUGGGCAAAGGUGUCACCGCUGCUACCUUCCAGCCAUCAGGAAACACUCCUUGCUGCAGUGAGCAAUUAAUAAUAGUGGUCAAGGUCUCGAGCGACUGUGGCAGAGUGAGCAGUAAGACAUCCAGUGCCAGGCCAUCACAUCCCUGCGCAUUAGAUUUCAAUCCUCUAAUAACCUCCAGUACCUCUUUGCUAGUUACCGCAUGAAGUGCAAAAGUAGCUGAAGCGUCGUACCUGUUAUGCUCAUAAAAAGAUAAGGCUGAAAUUGACACUUUGUUUGAGCCUGGUAUGUUCAGAAAAUGCUGGUUUAUAGCAUUAGGGUCAUUAAACUCGGGUGGAAGCUCACUAGUCUUACCAUUGUUAGGGAGUACAGUAUUCUUAAGAUUCCUCCACAAUCUCUUAGAAUUUCCUAUAUUGCUAUUUAUAUGCUUUUCAAAAUAACAUUUUUUCUCCUGUUCCAAAGCCUCCAGUACCAUCCCUCUCAUUUGUCUGUAACAGUCCUUUAGAGCAGAUGUUUUGAGUUUUUUGUAUUUGUUGUGGUAGUUGUCCCUAAUACGCAUCAUGGCUCUGACAGUGUCCGUUACCCACGGAUGGGGAGGGUUUUUAAACUUUUUUGUCACUAUUGGGGUAUGUAAAUCCAUCAACCCUAUAAUACAUGUUGUAAAAGCUCUUACGAGUUCGUUAACUUCGUUGAUUUCAUUAAAAUUUCCCCACCGUAUGGCACAUAGAUCUGCAUUCAGCUGGUCAAUGAGAAUGUUCUUGAGCGGUCUAUAUGUCACCCAUCUAGGACUAGGUUUAUCCACUUUAAUUUUGACCUCUGCUAGUAUCAUGGCAUGCCCUCCUCGAUCUGGCGAGUGCCUCACAGUCAGCUUGGGAACCCUAACAUCAGUGCACAACACAUCUAUUAAAGUGGCACUAUGGUCUGUAAAGUGAGUGGGGUCCUCAACCAUUUGAGUUAAAUUUAAACUCUCGAUGAAUUGCAUGAAGGCCCCAUAGCCGCGACUGCUUUUAUCAAGGAGAUUGAUAUUAAAGUCUCCCACCACUAUUAUGCCGUCAGAUUGUGAGAAAGAGGUGACUGAGUCUGUGAUAGCCUCUAGGAACAUAUUUAUGUCUUGCCAGGGCGGUCUGUAUGCAGUUCCAACGAUUAUAUUUUGACCGUGUGAGUGAACUUUCAGCCACAUCUGCUCGACAGGUGGGAUAGAUGUAGGAAAUUCCAAUUGUUUGGCAUUUAAACCCUUACGUAUGUAAAAGCCUACCCCCCCUCCCCGACCCCCCCGAACUUGAAUAUGUCUCGGAAUAUGUCUCAAACGAUAACCUGAAAGUUUAGGCGCCCUAUCCUCCUCUCCCAAUCGCAACCAGGUUUCAUUUAUGGCCAUAAUGUCAGGAGCGAAUUCCACCAUCGCAGCGGUAAAUUCGUCAUGCCCUGUACAGAGAGACCCUGCAUUAUAUAGACCUAACAAUAGAUUUUUUAGCCUAAGGCCUGAAAAUCGGGACAUGUAAAUAAAGAACAAUAGCGGGAUGUCAAAAUGUGAUUCAUAAUUGAAAAUAGUAUCAUGUAAAUAUUGUAAUAAAUAAUAUAGAUAAUUAGAUUAGAACAUAAAUUAACGAUUAUAUAACUAGAGAUAUUAUUAUGAAUUAAAUAAGUUAUAGAAAUGAAAUGAGUUUGAAAUAAGUAGUACAAUAGAAUACAAUUGUCAAAUAGUUCAAAUAUUCCAUGUAACAUAGUGAUUUUAGGUAGCAAACGGUAUAUUAUUUCAUACUUUUGUACAUAGUUAUAACCAUCAGUGUAAUAAAUGUAUUUCAAUGGAAAUAUAUAAUAUAAUGAAUUGCAA